AACGAACGCUGGCGGCAUGCCUAACACAUGCCAGUCGAACGAGACCUUCGGGUCUAGUGGCGCACGGGUGCGUAACGCGUGGGAACCUGCCCUUAGGUUCGGAAUAACUCCCCGAAAGGGGUGCUAAUACCGGAUAAUGUCUUCGGACCAAAGAUUUAUCGCCUUUGGAUGGGCCCGCGUUGGAUUAGCUAGUUGGUAGGGUAAAAGCCUACCAAGGCGACGAUCCAUAGCUGGUCUGAGAGGAUGAUCAGCCACACUGGGACUGAGACACGGCCCAGACUCCUAUGGGAGGCAGCAGUGGGGAAUAUUGGACAAUGGGCGAAAGCCUGAUCCAGCAAUGCCGCGUGAGUGAUGAAGGCCUUAGGGUUGUAAAGCUCUUUUACCCGGGAUGAUAAUGACAGUACCGGGAGAAUAAGCUCCGGCUAACUCCGUG
RNAcentral lists this ribosomal RNA (433 nucleotides) under uncultured bacterium. RNAcentral's name for it is "partial 16S ribosomal RNA". It matches the Rfam family "Bacterial small subunit ribosomal RNA", at positions 29 to 507 of the family's 1533-position model. The record is from RNAcentral.